RNAcentral lists this ribosomal RNA (488 nucleotides) under Mycobacterium lentiflavum. RNAcentral describes it as "bacterial SSU rRNA". It matches the Rfam family "Bacterial small subunit ribosomal RNA", at positions 12 to 515 of the family's 1533-position model. The record is from RNAcentral. Lineage: Bacteria; Bacillati; Actinomycetota; Actinomycetes; Mycobacteriales; Mycobacteriaceae.
UUUGAUCCUGGCUCAGGACGAACGCUGGCGGCGUGCUUAACACAUGCAAGUCGAACGGAAAGGCCUCUUCGGAGGUACUCGAGUGGCGAACGGGUGAGUAACACGUGGGUAAUCUGCCCUGCACUUCGGGAUAAGCCUGGGAAACUGGGUCUAAUACCGGAUAUGACCUUUUGGCGCAUGCCUUUUGGUGGAAAGCUUUUGCGGUGUGGGAUGGGCCCGCGGCCUAUCAGCUUGUUGGUGGGGUGAUGGCCUACCAAGGCGACGACGGGUAGCCGGCCUGAGAGGGUGUCCGGCCACACUGGGACUGAGAUACGGCCCAGACUCCUACGGGAGGCAGCAGUGGGGAAUAUUGCACAAUGGGCGCAAGCCUGAUGCAGCGACGCCGCGUGGGGGAUGACGGCCUUCGGGUUGUAAACCUCUUUCAGCAGGGACGAAGCGCAAGUGACGGUACCUGCAGAAGAAGCACCGGCCAACUACGUGCCAGCAGC